GCCGGCGAGUGGCGAACGGGUGAGUAANGUAUCGGAACGUACCUUUCAGUGGGGGAUAACGUAGCGAAAGUUACGCUAAUACCGCAUAUUCUGUGAGCAGGAAAGCAGGGGAUCGCAAGACCUUGCGCUGAUUGAGCGGCCGAUAUCAGAUUAGCUAGUUGGUGGGGUAAAGGCCUACCAAGGCGACGAUCUGUAGCGGGUCUGAGAGGAUGAUCCGCCACACUGGAACUGAGACACGGUCCAGACUCCUACGGGAGGCAGCAGUGGGGAAUUUUGGACAAUGGGGGCAACCCUGAUCCAGCCAUGCCGCGUGAGUGAAGAAGGCCUUCGGGUUGUAAAGCUCUUUCGGCCGGGAAGAAAUCGCGCAGGCUAAUACCCUGUGUGGAUGACGGUACCGGAAUAAGAAGCACCGGCUAACUACGUGCCAGCAGCCGCGGUAAUACGUAGGGUGCGAGCGUUAAUCGGAAUUACUGGGCGUAAAGCGUGCGCAGGCGGUUUCGUAAGACAGAGGUGAAAUCCCCGGGCUCAACCUGGGAACUGCCUUUGUGACUGCGAGGCUAGAGUACGGCAGAGGGGGGUGGAAUUCCACGUGUAGCAGUGAAAUGCGUAGAGAUGUGGAGGAACACCGAUGGC
Molecule: ribosomal RNA, 633 nt
Filed under: perchlorate-reducing bacterium RC2
Lineage: Bacteria; Pseudomonadati; Pseudomonadota; Betaproteobacteria; Rhodocyclales; Rhodocyclaceae
Description: bacterial SSU rRNA
Rfam family: Bacterial small subunit ribosomal RNA
Source: RNAcentral